UCCUACGGGAGGCAGCAGUCGGGAAUAUUGCGCAAUGGAGGAAACUCUGACGCAGUGACGCCGCGUGCAGGAAGAAGGUUUUCGGAUUGUAAACUGCUUUAGACAGGGAAGAAACAAAUGACAGUACCUGUAGAAUAAGCUCCGGCUAACUACGUGCCAGCAGCCGCGGUAAU
This 173-nucleotide ribosomal RNA is filed under the name Clostridium sp. RNAcentral describes it as "partial 16S ribosomal RNA". It matches the Rfam family "Bacterial small subunit ribosomal RNA", at positions 337 to 524 of the family's 1533-position model. Lineage: Bacteria; Bacillati; Bacillota; Clostridia; Eubacteriales; Clostridiaceae. The record is from RNAcentral.